This 253-nucleotide ribosomal RNA is filed under the name uncultured bacterium. RNAcentral describes it as "partial 16S ribosomal RNA". It matches the Rfam family "Bacterial small subunit ribosomal RNA", at positions 524 to 776 of the family's 1533-position model. The record is from RNAcentral.
UACGUAGGGCGCAAGCGUUGUCCGGAAUUAUUGGGCGUAAAGAGCUCGUAGGCGGCUUGUCACGUCGGAUGUGAAAGCCCGGGGCUUAACCCCGGGUCUGCAUUCGAUACGGGCAGGCUAGAGUGUGGUGGGGGAGACCGGAAUUCCUGGUGUAGCGGUGUAAUGCGCAGAUAUCAGGAGGGACACCGGUGGCGAAGGCGGAUCUCUGGGCCAUUACUGACGCUGAGGAGCGAAAGCGUGGGGAGCGAACAGG